UCUAUACCCACUGCAGCCCCUCACCGGUUGCCCUGAACGCCUGCCUGCCUGCCUCUCUACCUACCUGCCUGCCGGGUAGGAUAUAACCGGUAGUCGUAAAGUUGUCCUGAACCGCCAACGGCUUUGGAGAGAGAAGUCUGCUUGGAAGUCACGCUCUUCUGGAGGUAAGGUGUCUUCUUCCACCGUCUGCCCCGGCCUGCCACGCCACCACCCGGCUACGUGGAUUCGUUCUGGCUCACCGUCUUGCCUCCGUUGAGCACGGCCGAGGCGCUCCGGGACUUGGUGGGCGUGCCGCUGCCGGAGCGCGAGAACUCUGUCAGGUCGUGGAGGGAGGGUUCCCUGUACAUGGCCACUGUGGGACAGACGGACAGGAGAAUGCACCUUAACACACGGAUGGGUCAAAUUAAAGGCCGUGGGCUGAGAUUCGUGGACUGGAACCAGAGCGAAGAGGAGAGGGGGAGCGAGGAGCGGCUGGUGGAGAUGGUUGAAAUGCAGAGACGGCUCCUUAAUUGGUCGGCUGGUAUUGCUGCUGCCUCUGGAUCUUUAUGGGCUGCUGGAACAAAUGCUUUUUUUUUUCUCUCCCCCUCUUUAUUCUCUCUCCCUCUCUUUAUUCUCUCUCCCUCUCUUUAUUCUCUCUCACUCUCUUUAUUCUCUCUCACUCUCUUU
Oncorhynchus nerka (sockeye salmon) is the source of this 666-nucleotide long non-coding RNA. RefSeq lists it as uncharacterized. Lineage: Eukaryota; Metazoa; Chordata; Actinopteri; Salmoniformes; Salmonidae. The transcript is spliced from 3 exons. The record is from RefSeq and is a predicted model, not a curated record.